Molecule: ribosomal RNA, 253 nt
Filed under: uncultured bacterium
Lineage: Bacteria
Description: partial 16S ribosomal RNA
Rfam family: Bacterial small subunit ribosomal RNA
Source: RNAcentral
UACGUAGGGAGCAAGCGUUGUUCGGAUUUACUGGGCGUAUAGGGCGCGUAGGCGGCAAUUCAAGUCAUCUGUGAAAUCUCCGGGCUUAACUCGGAACGGUCAGAUGAUACUGUCAUGCUAGAGUGCAGAAGGGGCAAUCGGAAUUCUUGGUGUAGCGGUGAAAUGCGUAGAUAUCAAGAGGAACACCUGAGGUGAAGACGGGUUGCUGGGCUGACACUGACGCUGAGGCGCGAAAGCCAGGGGAGCAAACGGG